GUCCACGCCGUAAACGUUGGGCACUAGGUGUGGGGCUCUGUCAACGAGUUCCAUGCCGUCGCUAACGCAUUAAGUGCCCCGCCUGGGGAGUACGGCCGCAAGGCUAAAACUCAAAGGAAUUGACGGGGGCCCGCACAAGCGGCGGAGCAUGUUGCUUAAUUCGAGGCAACGCGAAGAACCUUACCUGGGUUUGACAUGUACGGAAAAGCCGCAGAGAUGCGGUGUCCUUCGGGUCGUACACAGGUGGUGCAUGGCUGUCGU
This 261-nucleotide ribosomal RNA is filed under the name uncultured bacterium. RNAcentral's name for it is "partial 16S ribosomal RNA". It matches the Rfam family "Bacterial small subunit ribosomal RNA", at positions 793 to 1055 of the family's 1533-position model. The record is from RNAcentral.